AGCAUCGCCACGGGAAUACGAAGGGGGCUAGCGUUGCUCGGAAUGACUGGGCGUAAAGGGCGCGUAGGCGGCGAUCAAAGUCAGGCGUGAAAUUCCUGGGCUCAACCUGGGGGCUGCGCUUGAUACUUGGUUGCUUGAGUGGGGAAGAGGGUCGUGGAAUUCCCAGUGUAGAGGUGAAAUUCGUAGAUAUUGGGAAGAACACCGGUGGCGAAGGCGGCGACCUGGUCCUUGACUGACGCUGAGGCGCGAAAGCGUGGGGAGCAAACAGGAUUAGAUACCCCAGUAGUCCCUGUCUCUUAUACA
RNAcentral lists this ribosomal RNA (303 nucleotides) under uncultured bacterium. Its description in RNAcentral is "partial 16S ribosomal RNA". It matches the Rfam family "Bacterial small subunit ribosomal RNA", at positions 510 to 808 of the family's 1533-position model. The record is from RNAcentral.